RNAcentral lists this ribosomal RNA (452 nucleotides) under uncultured bacterium. Its description in RNAcentral is "bacterial SSU rRNA". It matches the Rfam family "Bacterial small subunit ribosomal RNA", at positions 340 to 783 of the family's 1533-position model. The record is from RNAcentral.
UACGGAAGGCAGCAGUGGGGAAUAUUGCACAAUGGGCGCAAGCCUGAUGCAGCCAUGCCGCGUGUAUGAAAAAGGCCUUCGGGUUGUAAAGUACUUUCAGUCGUGAGGAAGGUGUUAAGGUUAAUAACCUUAGCAAUUGACGUUAGCGACAGAAGAAGCACCGGCUAACUCCGUGCCAGCAGCCGCGGUAAUACGGAGGGUGCGAGCGUUAAUCGGAAUUACUGGGCGUAAAGGGCACGCAGGCGGUUAAUUAAGUUGGAUGUGAAAUCCCCGGGCUUAACCUGGGAAUGGCAUUCAAGACUGGUUAGCUAGAGUCUUGUAGAGGGGGUUAGAAUUCCAUGUGUAGCGGUGAAAUGCGUAGAGAUGUGGAGGAAUACCGGUGGCGAAGGCGGCCCCUGGACAAAGACUGACGCUCAUGUGCGAAAGCGUGGGGAGCAAACGAGGGAUUAGAU